Long non-coding RNA from Branchiostoma floridae (Florida lancelet), 627 nucleotides. RefSeq lists it as uncharacterized. NCBI's taxonomy places the organism in Eukaryota, Metazoa, Chordata, Leptocardii, Amphioxiformes, Branchiostomatidae. The record is from RefSeq and is a predicted model, not a curated record. The transcript is spliced from 4 exons.
UGAGAAACGUGUAGCACACUUGGUUUGAGAUGUCGAGCUGCAGUGGUACUUCUUUACCUUCUGGCUUCAGUUCUACCACAGGAUCACGUAAAAGGCAACGUACUCCAGUACAGACCACGCCUGGAUUGAAACCAAACCUGAUUGGUUGUUGACUGUCACGUACGGGGUUACUCCUAGCCGGAUAAGAGCCAAAGUGAGGAAAGUGACUUUGCGCGUCUGUGGGAUUCUGUCCAAGAGAACAAUCCGUGAUGAAGAGUUGUGCAGGGUUGGCCAUGGAGCUGCGACUGGUCGUCCUCUGCACAUUGUUGACUCCUCUACUUGCUGCCUCUGUGAAACAGCGGGUGGAGGAAACACAGCUGUGCAAAACCGACCAGGACUGUCCCCAGGAUGAACGCUGUCUUGUUACCGGUGUAGAGGGUGUCUGCAAAUCGUACAACAAAUCUGAGAAAUCGCUUCCUUCUAACGACCUUAAGCCCGACCCCCGUAAAGCUAAGUUUAUUAGACAAAUCCCAGCCUAUCCCUACCCAUACCCCUCCUCACACCCCUCCCCAAUCCCCUCUCAAUACCCCUCUGCAUACCCCUCCCCAUACCCCUCUCCGUACCCCUCCCCAUAUCCCUCCUCAUACC